RNAcentral lists this ribosomal RNA (260 nucleotides) under Craterellus tubaeformis. Its description in RNAcentral is "partial large subunit ribosomal RNA". It matches the Rfam family "Bacterial large subunit ribosomal RNA", at positions 1793 to 2060 of the family's 2925-position model. Lineage: Eukaryota; Fungi; Basidiomycota; Agaricomycetes; Cantharellales; Hydnaceae. The record is from RNAcentral.
CCCCCGACUGUUUACUUAAAACACAGAUAUCUGCGAUGAUUAAAUUAUUUGUAUAGAUGUCGAAUUUUGCCCAAUGCCAUUAAUAUAAAGAAGGUGAGUUUAAUUUACCGACUGAAAAUCUGGUCAAUGGCGGUCUUAACUAUAAGGAUCCAAAGGUAGCAAAAUUCAUUGUCCACUAAAUACGGUCCUGCAUGAAUAAAGUAACGAUGGGUUCACUGUCUCUACAAGUAUCUCAGUGAAAUUGAAUUAGCCGUGCAGAU